GAUCUGGCUCAGGAUGAACGCUAGCUACAGGCUUAACACAUGCAAGUCGAGGGGCAGCAUAACGAAGCUGCUUUGUGAUGGCGACCGGCGCACGGGUGAGUAACGCGUAUCCAACCUUCCCCAUAGUAGAGAAUAGCCCGGCGAAAGUCGGAUUAAUGCUCUAUGUUGUAUCAUGAGGACAUCUGAAUAAUACCAAAGGUUUACCGCUAUGGGAUGGGGAUGCGUCUGAUUAGGUUGUUGGCGGGGUAACGGCCCACCAAGCCCACGAUCAGUAGGGGUUCUGAGAGGAAGGUCCCCCACAUUGGAACUGAGACACGGUCCAAACUCCUACGGGAGGCAGCAGUGAGGAAUAUUGGUCAAUGGACGGAAGUCUGAACCAGCCAAGUAGCCGUGCAGGAUGACGGCCCUAUGGGUUGUAAACUGCUUUUAUACAGGGAUAAAGUGAGGGACGUGUCCCUUUUUGUAGGUACUGUAUGAAUAAGGACCGGCUAAUUCCGUGCCAGCCGCCGC
Molecule: ribosomal RNA, 510 nt
Filed under: uncultured bacterium
Lineage: Bacteria
Description: bacterial SSU rRNA
Rfam family: Bacterial small subunit ribosomal RNA
Source: RNAcentral